Molecule: long non-coding RNA, 889 nt
Filed under: Anas platyrhynchos platyrhynchos (common mallard)
Lineage: Eukaryota; Metazoa; Chordata; Aves; Anseriformes; Anatidae
Description: lncRNA (ENSAPLG00000027549.1)
Source: RNAcentral
AAUGCUCCAGAUGCCACAUCUGAAAGAAAUGGUUGCCAAAGCACUCAAGAGAGGAAAUCUCCAGACUUAUCCAGAUUUCAGCGGAGCACGGGCACGGUGAAAUCACCAUUCAGCAGAGCAGGGAGAAGCAACCUCAAACCAGCCCUUCCUCCUGAGAUGUGACCUCCCAAGCCACGUAGCAAUGAGUUCGGUACUGACCUUCACACAAAGUUUGGUGUCCCCAUGCCAUCCAAUUGCAUGUCAUUUCUGUUGGUUUUGUGAAGACUAAACAGAUGUCUCCCAUGGAAAGAAAACAAAACAGAAAACUGGAAGAGCAGGAGCCUUUCCCCAGCCUGGGGAGCCGGACCCAAGGGGGGAGGUCCCGUGCCCUGCUCCUGGUGGUUUUUCUGGAGGUUUUGUCUUAUUGUUCCUCCUGCCUUGGGGCAGGGGCUCCAGUCCUGCACUUCAGGGCCGGUCCAUCAAAGGAAGUGGUGGCCUUGUGGCCCAAGGCGAACAAGUCGAUGAGGCUUUACGAAGACCUUUGCAUUUCCAAAGCUGCAGCUGUAGCUGUGCUGCGUUCCUGCCUGGCUCCAGAUGGAAGUGUGUUAGCUUAAAUCACCGAGGCUGGCUUUAAAGCAGCUAUCCCGAGCCUGCUCUGCAGCCUGUGCAGUUCCCCAGCCUGGAAUUGUGCAAUUGGUUAUUUCUACGUAAGUACAGUAUUCUGCAUGGUCUUUGCUAAAUAAGAUUAAUUUUUCUUUUUAAGAUUUCUUCAGUUUGUCGAGACCUGAUUGAAUUUUACUUCUGUCCUCAUGCAUGUUUGCAGUCCCUCCCUGCACAGUGUUAUCAGCAAAUCUCGCAUGUGUUCUUUCUUCUGUCAUCCAAGUCAUUAAUGAAAAAACUAAUAAUGCUG